GCUUGAAUAGUUUAAUUAAAAUAUUAGCUUGUGGUGCUAAUGAUGUAGUUUUUACUUUAGGUA
This 63-nucleotide transfer RNA is filed under the name Alleculinae sp. ENSP01. Its description in RNAcentral is "tRNA-His". It matches the Rfam family "tRNA". Rfam says of the family: Transfer RNA (tRNA) molecules are approximately 80 nucleotides in length. Lineage: Eukaryota; Metazoa; Arthropoda; Insecta; Coleoptera; Tenebrionidae. The record is from RNAcentral.